RNAcentral lists this ribosomal RNA (426 nucleotides) under uncultured bacterium. Its description in RNAcentral is "bacterial SSU rRNA". It matches the Rfam family "Bacterial small subunit ribosomal RNA", at positions 356 to 773 of the family's 1533-position model. The record is from RNAcentral.
GGGGAAUUUUGCGCAAUGGGGGAAACCCUGACGCAGCAACGCCGCGUGGGUGAUGAAGGCCCUCGGGUCGUAAAGCCCUGUCGGGUGGGAAGAAGCCCUCGACGGUGAACAAUCGGCGAGGAUGACGGUACCACUAGAGGAAGCACCGGCUAACUCUGUGCCAGCAGCCGCGGUAAUACAGAGGGUGCAAGCGUUGUUCGGAAUCACUGGGCGUAAAGCGCGUGUAGGCGGCCGAUUGUGUCGAGUGUGAAAGCCCUCGGCUUAACCGAGGAAGUGCACUCGAAACUGGUCGGCUUGAGUACCGGAGAGGAAGGUGGAAUUCCCGGUGUAGAGGUGAAAUUCGUAGAUAUCGGGAGGAACACCAGUGGCGAAAGCGACCUUCUGGACGGAUACUGACGCUGAGACGCGAAAGCGUGGGGAGCAAAC